Poecilia latipinna (sailfin molly) is the source of this 684-nucleotide long non-coding RNA. RefSeq lists it as uncharacterized. The transcript has 3 exons. NCBI's taxonomy places the organism in Eukaryota, Metazoa, Chordata, Actinopteri, Cyprinodontiformes, Poeciliidae. The record is from RefSeq and is a predicted model, not a curated record.
GUUUUAGAGUUGCUUUUGAACCUUAAUAAGUGGAACAUUGACCAACAUAUUUGAUGUAUAUUGAUGAUUUUAAUGAUAUUGCUUUUUCACAAUUGUUGACUAUAUGAUGUUUAUGGGGUUUUUUUAUGUUUUCAUGAUGUAAAGCGGUUUGACUGCCUUGUUUCUGAAAUAUGUUAUAGAAAUAAACUUGGUAUGGGCUUGUGAUUUGGAUAAUAGCCGCUUUUAGUGGCAGCUGUUGUAGCCAAUCAGAAGCAAGUGUCGCUAAGUUUGGUUGAGAGCGCAUCGUUUUGCUAAACUUCAUAGCGUUAGAGGUUCGAUUCGGUUCUGUCUUCGUCAAUAUGCGUCAUAAAACGCCGCUGUGCGUCUCUUCCCGGCCUGACGGAUGGAGCUCCUCGUUGAUGAACCGGUCAGCAGCCACACAGACUUUCCUUCCAUUGUCUGCAUGCCAAGCCGAUGUUAUUCUACCCAUCUCCUUCUCCAGGGUCAUGGAUGCACUUCCCCCAGCCUCUCCACCUUCAUCCACACACACACACACACACACUCCGCUCUCAUCCCGCAGCCAAUAAGGGCCUGAUGAUCUCAAGUAUCACUAUAGCAGCAGGACUUAUUCUCUGAGCGGAGCCUGCGGAUACUUACAGACCUUCAUCUUCAUCGCCGAGGGAGCUGAUCUUCCUCUUUUGGGUA